AGUUGUUUUACUUACCUUCCACUGGCACUUCUACAGCCAGGCUGCCAGCAGGAGACCACAUAUAAAGCUUAUUGGUACCGGUACACAGGGACAGACGGGGCUGCAGAGGGUCCCACUCAACACCUGACAAUUAAGAUUUCAUCACCAUUUCUUGUGUACAUAUAUCUGCAAUCACAGCUGAAGGCCAGCAUGCCCACACCAAGUUUUGGGUUGGCCCGAUUGGUGUCCGGUUUGACAACAGGAAUGUUUACAGGGGAAUGGUCUACCUCAUCUGAUCAGAAAUCAUUAGAAAAAAGACAAAGAUAAUGCAACGAAAACUGCAGCUUGGAAAUCUAUAACAUGAUAACAAUUUAAAUUGUGACAAUCAAUCAAUUUCAUGACAGAAUGUUAAUGUCAUCUGUAAAUAUUAUCAGAUCA
This is a long non-coding RNA of Ostrea edulis (European flat oyster), 417 nucleotides long. RefSeq lists it as uncharacterized. Lineage: Eukaryota; Metazoa; Mollusca; Bivalvia; Ostreida; Ostreidae. The record is from RefSeq and is a predicted model, not a curated record. The transcript has 2 exons.